Molecule: long non-coding RNA, 399 nt
Filed under: Homo sapiens (human)
Lineage: Eukaryota; Metazoa; Chordata; Mammalia; Primates; Hominidae
Description: HSALNT0177958
Source: RNAcentral
CCAGCAUCUCCAGGGCAGAAAGCUCAGAUGAAGAGACCAAGGCCCAGCGAGGGAUCCUAUAGAAAGAGUAAAAGUAAAGCCAAUGAGCAUGUGUCAGAGGAGGAGUCCCCCACAGAAGGAGUGGCAGGAGUUCCCCGGCGCAAGCGCUCCUGUCUGCCGCAAUGUAAGACGUGGUUUUGCUGCUCAUUUGCCUUCCGCCAUGACUGUGAGGACUCUCCAGCUAUGUGGAACGGAAAUAGAGUCUCAUGUGUCACACAGGCUGAAGUUCAGUGGCGCAAUCAUAGCUCAUUGCAGCCUUGACUUCUUGUGUUCAAGGGAUCCUCCCACCUCAGCCUCCCAAGUAGCUGGGACUAUAGGUAUGUGUCACCACAGCCAGCUAAUUAAAAAAGAUUUUUUUUC